RNAcentral lists this ribosomal RNA (376 nucleotides) under uncultured bacterium. Its description in RNAcentral is "bacterial SSU rRNA". It matches the Rfam family "Bacterial small subunit ribosomal RNA", at positions 524 to 898 of the family's 1533-position model. The record is from RNAcentral.
UACGUAGGGUGCGAGCGUUAAUCGGAAUUACUGGGCGUAAAGCGUGCGCAGGCGGUUGUUUAAGACAGAUGUGAAAGCCCCGGGCUCAACCUGGGAAUUGCGUUUGUGACUGGACGACUAGAGUGCAACAGAGGGGGGUGGAAUUCCACGUGUAGCAGUGAAAUGCGUAGAGAUGUGGAGGAACACCGAUGGCGAAGGCAGCCCCCUGGGUUGACACUGACGCUCAUGCACGAAAGCGUGGGGAGCAAACAGGAUUAGAUACCCUGGUAGUCCACGCCCUAAACGAUGUCAACUAGGUGUUGGGGAAGGAGACUUCUUUAGUACCGCAGCUAACGCGUGAAGUUGACCGCCUGGGGAGUACGGUCGCAAGAUUAAA